GCGAGUAUAGCUUAGUUGGGAGAGCGUUAGAUUGAAGAUCAAAAGGUCACCUGUUCGAUCCACGUUCAUCACA
Non-coding RNA from Gossypium hirsutum (cotton), 73 nucleotides. The record is from Rfam. NCBI's taxonomy places the organism in Eukaryota, Viridiplantae, Streptophyta, Magnoliopsida, Malvales, Malvaceae.